GACGAACGCUGGCGGCGUGCUUAACACAUGCAAGUCGAACGGUGAAAGCGGAGCUUGCUCCGCUGGAUCAGUGGCGAACGGGUGAGUAACACGUGGGCAACCUGCCCCUCACUUCGGGAUAACUCCGGAGAACCGGGGCUAAUACCGGAUACGACCUCCUUGGGCAUCCUGGGAGGUGGAAAGUUUUUCGGUGAGGGAUGGGCCCGCGGCCUAUCAGCUUGUUGGGGAGGUAGUGGCUCACCAAGGCGACGACGGGUAGCCGGCCUGAGAGGGCGACCGGCCACACUGGGACUGAGACACGGCCCAGACUCCUACGGGAGGCAGCAGUGGGGAAUAUUGCGCAAUGGGCGAAAGCCUGACGCAGCAACGCCGCGUGCGGGAUGAAGGCCUUCGGGUUGUAAACCGCUUUCAGCAGGGAAGAAGCCGCAAGGUGACGGUACCUGCAGAAGAAGCACCGGCUAACUACGUGCCAGCCGCCGCAGUAA
This 485-nucleotide ribosomal RNA is filed under the name uncultured bacterium. RNAcentral's name for it is "partial 16S ribosomal RNA". It matches the Rfam family "Bacterial small subunit ribosomal RNA", at positions 28 to 523 of the family's 1533-position model. The record is from RNAcentral.